UAAAAUUUAAAAUUUGACAAUUCAAAAUUUUAAAUUAAAAUUUUUAAAUAAAGUACUGAAAGGGUUUCGGGUGUUAGAAGGGUAAAAUUAUUUUUUUACACAAUAUGUAGUAUUACCGGAUUUUAGUAAUGCAUGAUACACGACCCUCUCUCGUUAAUAUUUUCGAUAUAAUCCUACUCGAUUUGUAAUGCUACAUUAACGGCUAGAUUACAUAGCGGAUUAACCAAACACAGUAAUUCUGACAGGAUUGCCUGUAAUCCUGCCAGGAUAACUCGAACCAAACGCACCCUUAGUGUAAUACUUCAAGCACCCUAAAACGCUAUCUAUUCUCAAAAACCCAUAACCUCCAACAAUCUUGAAGUAUUAUGAUCG
Molecule: long non-coding RNA, 372 nt
Filed under: Ananas comosus (pineapple)
Lineage: Eukaryota; Viridiplantae; Streptophyta; Magnoliopsida; Poales; Bromeliaceae
Description: long non-coding RNA (ACOM_LNC007183)
Source: RNAcentral